RNAcentral lists this ribosomal RNA (253 nucleotides) under uncultured bacterium. Its description in RNAcentral is "partial 16S ribosomal RNA". It matches the Rfam family "Bacterial small subunit ribosomal RNA", at positions 524 to 776 of the family's 1533-position model. The record is from RNAcentral.
UACGAAGGGGGCUAGCGUUGCUCGGAUUUACUGGGCGUAAAGGGCGCGUAGGCGGACAGUUAAGUUGGGGGUGAAAGCCCGGGGCUCAACCUCGGAAUUGCCUUCAAUACUGGCUGUCUUGAGUGUGAGAGAGGUGUGUGGAACUCCGAGUGUAGAGGUGAAAUUCGUAGAUAUUCGGAAGAACACCAGUGGCGAAGACGACACACUGGCUCACUACUGACGCUGAGGCGCGAAAGCCAGGGGAGCAAACGGG